GAUGAACGCUAGCUACAGGCUUAACACAUGCAAGUCGAGGGCAGCGCAGUGUAGCAAUACAUGGGCGGCGACCGGCGCACGGGUGCGUAACGCGUAUCCAACCUUCCCGUUACUCAGGGAUAGCCUUCCGAAAGGGAGAUUAAUACCUGAUGGUGUUGAAAUUCCGCAUGUUAUUUCAACUAAAGAUUUAUCGGUAACGGAUGGGGAUGCGUGACAUUAGGUAGAUGGCGGGUAACGGCCACCAUGCCUACGAUGUCUAGGGGUUCUGAGAGGAAGGUCCCCCACACUGGAACUGAGACACGGUCCAGACUCCUACGGGAGGCAGCAGUGAGGGAAUAUUGGUCAAUGGUCGGAAGACUGAACCAGCCAAGUAGCGUGAAGGAUGAAGGGUUCUAUGGAUUGUAAACUUCUUUAUACGGGAAUAAAACCUCCCACGUGUGGGAGCUUGUAUGUACCGUAUGAAUAAGCAUCGGCUAA
Molecule: ribosomal RNA, 477 nt
Filed under: uncultured bacterium
Lineage: Bacteria
Description: bacterial SSU rRNA
Rfam family: Bacterial small subunit ribosomal RNA
Source: RNAcentral